Hypanus sabinus (Atlantic stingray) is the source of this 270-nucleotide long non-coding RNA. RefSeq lists it as uncharacterized. The transcript is spliced from 3 exons. The record is from RefSeq and is a predicted model, not a curated record. Lineage: Eukaryota; Metazoa; Chordata; Chondrichthyes; Myliobatiformes; Dasyatidae.
GAGAGCGUCAGCGAAUGAACAAGUGCAACAGAGAGAGAGAGAGAUGGCACCAGUGUGGACAAAAGAACAGCCGGCCACGACAGAGGUCCAUAAGGUCGCAGAUGAGGUGAAAUCCGACGCGGAGAGUCACAUCCACGCCUUAGAGCAGAUAUUCGUCGCGAAAACGUACCGUGAGCAGGACCAGACCAUCAUGCUGGGGAAACUUCUGCUGAUCAAGGUCGAUAUUGGAAACCCCAACAACUUCGUCCACAUGGAGGUGUUCGUUCCCAG